GCUGAAUAACUGCUUUAUGGUACGAUUGCUAAUACGAUCGUUUAAAAGGGAAGUCCGGUGAAAAGCCGACGCGGUCCCGCCACUGUAACAAGGAGUACAGUUGUUGGAAAUCCACUAUUUCUGUUUAGAAAUGGGAAGGAAAUAGCUGUAUGAUGAUUUGGAGUCAGGAGACCUGCCAUAAUGAACAAUACCAU
RNAcentral lists this non-coding RNA (194 nucleotides) under Geosporobacter ferrireducens. Lineage: Bacteria; Bacillati; Bacillota; Clostridia; Peptostreptococcales; Thermotaleaceae. The record is from RNAcentral.